UGUUCCCUAUUUACAGUUGUGGUGACAGUGGAAGAUAUGCUAUGGUUGGUUAAUUUUUUUUUUUUUUUUCAGUUCUAGGGUUUGAACUCAGGGUCUAUGCUUGCUAAGCCCUUGAACCACUUGAACCACACCUCCAGCUCUUAAAAUAUACUGUGAUUGUGACUGCUAAAAGCCUGGACAACUGACUUGCUUUUACUUGAUCAGGGUGUUGACCUUGGUGACUCUAGUGUCAUAGAGCCUCCCAGCCUGUUUGAUCUGGUGCUUAUUGCCUUGCUGUCCACAGUGAACUUAAUGAAUCUUCCAAUCUGAAAAAGUCUUCCAAGAAAAUUUCAGUUUUAAAAAUAAGUAAUGUCACCCAUUUUCCUAAAAGAUUGAAAUGGGAGCUAUCAUUUUGAGGUGAGUACCCAAUUUUACAUUUUUAAUCUCUUACAUUAGUUUUCUAGAAGUUAAAUAUGGAAGGAAAAUGUGAAUAUUGGUUAGAUUCUGAAUGUUUUAGUAAAUCUCUGAGGUGUUGGAAAUCCUAGGAUUUGCUUUAAGACAGUCUGAUAUUUAGGGUUAUGUAACACAGAGUUAAGAACAGAGCUUCAUGAAGGAAAAAGGGCAGGGGUCGAAAGUAGUAGUGGAAAACUUUUUAAGGAGGUUAACUGACAACUGAAGAAGCUUUUGGUU
This 669-nucleotide long non-coding RNA is filed under the name Castor canadensis (American beaver). RNAcentral describes it as "lncRNA (ENSCCNG00000019037.1)". The record is from RNAcentral. Lineage: Eukaryota; Metazoa; Chordata; Mammalia; Rodentia; Castoridae.